Molecule: non-coding RNA, 459 nt
Organism: Nothobranchius furzeri (turquoise killifish)
Lineage: Eukaryota; Metazoa; Chordata; Actinopteri; Cyprinodontiformes; Nothobranchiidae
Source: the annotation of a RefSeq genome assembly
ACUGGUGAGUUUGUUUGUGUCAGACUCACAGAGCCGUGUCUCUCAGAGGUUUUUGUACGACGACUCGACCAGUUUGUAUCACUGUGGUACACGUUUGGUGGAGGAACCAGACUGGAGGUUGGAAGUGAUACCCGUCCCAUCCUGACGGUGCUGCCUCCCUCCAGUGAGGAGCUGCAGCAGGGGAAGGCCACGCUCAUGUGUCUGGCCAACAAGGGCUUCCCCUCAGACUGGAGUCUGUCCUGGAAGGUGGACGGCAGCAGCAGCAGCUGGGAGGAGGACAGGAGCCCCGUGGUGAUGAAGGACGGCCUCUACAGCUGGAGCAGCACCCUGAGGCUCACUGCAGACCAGUGGAGGAAGGUGGGCUCUGUGACCUGUGAGGCCACCCAGGGCUCCCAGUCUCCAGUCUCAGAGUCACUCAGGAGAGACCAGUGUCCCCAUUACUGAUGGGACUCACUGUGA